RNAcentral lists this ribosomal RNA (549 nucleotides) under Salmonella enterica. RNAcentral's name for it is "partial 23S ribosomal RNA". It matches the Rfam family "Bacterial large subunit ribosomal RNA", at positions 711 to 1257 of the family's 2925-position model. Lineage: Bacteria; Pseudomonadati; Pseudomonadota; Gammaproteobacteria; Enterobacterales; Enterobacteriaceae. The record is from RNAcentral. RNAcentral also lists the same sequence under 1 other name.
AGACCCGAAACCCGGUGAUCUAGCCAUGGGCAGGUUGAAGGUUGGGUAACACUAACUGGAGGACCGAACCGACUAAUGUUGAAAAAUUAGCGGAUGACCUGUGGCUGGGGGUGAAAGGCCAAUCAAACCGGGAGAUAGCUGGUUCUCCCCGAAAGCUAUUUAGGUAGCGCCUCGUGAAUUCAUCUCCGGGGGUAGAGCACUGUUUCGGCUAGGGGGCCAUCCCGGCUUACCAACCCGAUGCAAACUGCGAAUACCGGAGAAUGUUAUCACGGGAGACACACGGCGGGUGCUAACGUCCGUCGUGAAGAGGGAAACAACCCAGACCGCCAGCUAAGGUCCCAAAGUCAUGGUUAAGUGGGAAACGAUGUGGGAAGGCCCAGACAGCCAGGAUGUUGGCUUAGAAGCAGCCAUCAUUUAAAGAAAGCGUAAUAGCUCACUGGUCGAGUCGGCCUGCGCGGAAGAUGUAACGGGGCUAAACCAUGCACCGAAGCUGCGGCAGCGACACUGUGUGUUGUUGGGUAGGGGAGCGUUCUGUAAGCCUGCGAAGGU